CAUCCCGGUUCACAGUCUUUGGGGCCCGCUUCCUGAUUUCAACCGCCUCUUUGAUCCAUCGAUGGAAUUUGGAACAAGAGUGAAAGCAACAAAAGAAAAUCU
Long non-coding RNA from Alosa sapidissima (American shad), 102 nucleotides. RefSeq lists it as uncharacterized. Lineage: Eukaryota; Metazoa; Chordata; Actinopteri; Clupeiformes; Clupeidae. The record is from RefSeq and is a predicted model, not a curated record. The transcript is spliced from 5 exons.